UGGGCGUAAGGGCUCGCAGGCGGUUUCUUAAGUCUGAUGUGAAAGCCCCCGGCUCAACCGGGGAGGGUCAUUGGAAACUGGGGAACUUGAGUGCAGAAGAGGAGAGUGGAAUUCCACGUGUAGCGGUGAAAUGCGUAGAGAUGUGGAGGAACACCAGUGGCGAAGGCGACUCUCUGGUCUGUAACUGACGCUGAGGAGCGAAAGCGUGGGGAGCGAACAGGAUUAGAUACCCUGGUAGUCCACGCCGUAAACGAUGAGUGCUAAGUGUUAGGGGGUUUCCGCCCCUUAGUGCUGCAGCUAACGCAUUAAGCACUCCGCCUGGGGAGUACGGUCGCAAGACUGAAACUCAAAGGAAUUGACGGGGGCCCGCACAAGCGGUGGAGCAUGUGGUUUAAUUCGAAGCAACGCGAAGAACCUUACCAGGUCUUGACAUCCUCUGACAAUCCUAGAGAUAGGACGUCCCCUUCGGGGGCAGAGUGACAGGUGGUGCAUGGUUGUCGUCAGCUCGUGUCGUGAGAUGUUGGGUUAAGUCCCGCAACG
This 540-nucleotide ribosomal RNA is filed under the name Bacillus subtilis. RNAcentral describes it as "bacterial SSU rRNA". It matches the Rfam family "Bacterial small subunit ribosomal RNA", at positions 555 to 1094 of the family's 1533-position model. Lineage: Bacteria; Bacillati; Bacillota; Bacilli; Caryophanales; Bacillaceae. The record is from RNAcentral.